Molecule: transfer RNA, 81 nt
Filed under: Helianthus annuus (common sunflower)
Lineage: Eukaryota; Viridiplantae; Streptophyta; Magnoliopsida; Asterales; Asteraceae
Description: tRNA-Ala
Rfam family: tRNA
About the family: Transfer RNA (tRNA) molecules are approximately 80 nucleotides in length. Their secondary structure includes four short double-helical elements and three loops (D, anti-codon, and T loops). Further hydrogen bonds mediate the characteristic L-shaped molecular structure. tRNAs have two regions of fundamental functional importance: the anti-codon, which is responsible for specific mRNA codon recognition, and the 3' end, to which the tRNAs corresponding amino acid is attached (by aminoacyl-tRNA synthetases). tRNAs cope with the degeneracy of the genetic code in two manners: having more than one tRNA (with a specific anti-codon) for a particular amino acid; and 'wobble' base-pairing, i.e. permitting non-standard base-pairing at the 3rd anti-codon position.
Source: RNAcentral
CGUAAUUGGGGAUGUAGCUCACAUGGUAGAGCGCUCGCUUUGCAUGUGAGAGGUACGGGGUUCAAUACCCCGCAUCUCCAU